This 305-nucleotide ribosomal RNA is filed under the name uncultured bacterium. Its description in RNAcentral is "bacterial SSU rRNA". It matches the Rfam family "Bacterial small subunit ribosomal RNA", at positions 335 to 639 of the family's 1533-position model. The record is from RNAcentral.
UCUCCUACGGGACGCAGCAGUGGGAAUAUUGGUCAAUGGGCGGGAGCCUGAACCAGCCAAGUCGCGUGAAGGAAGAAGGUACUUAGUAUUGUAAACUUCUUUUGUCGGGGAACAAAGGCGGAGACGCGUCUCCGGAUGAGUGUACCCGAAGAAAAAGCAUCGGCUAACUCCGUGCCAGCAGCCGCGGUAAUACGGAGGAUGCGAGCGUUAUCCGGAUUUAUUGGGUUUAAAGGGUGCGUAGGCGGGAUGCCAAGUCAGCGGUAAAAAUGCGGUGCUCAACGCCGUCGAGCCGUUGACACUGGCGU